Molecule: ribosomal RNA, 253 nt
Filed under: uncultured bacterium
Lineage: Bacteria
Description: partial 16S ribosomal RNA
Rfam family: Bacterial small subunit ribosomal RNA
Source: RNAcentral
UACGAAGGAUCCUAGCGUUGUCCGGAUUUACUGGGUUUAAAGGGUGCGUAGGCGGACUAUUAAGUCAGUGGUGAAAGCCGGUAGCUUAACUAUCGAAUUGCCAUUGAAACUGAUAGUCUCGAGUAUAGUUGAGGUAGUUGGAAUGUAUCAUGUAGCGGUGAAAUGCUUAGAUAUGAUACAGAACACCGAUUGCGAAGGCAGAUUACUAAACUAUAACUGACGCUGAGGCACGAAAGCGUGGGGAUCAAACAGG